GACGAACGCUGGCGGCGUGCUUAACACAUGCAAGUCGAACGGAAAGGCCCUGCUUUUGUGGGGUGCUCGAGUGGCGAAAGGGUGAGUAACACUUGAGUAACCUGCCCUUGACUUUGGGAUAACUUCAGGAAACUAGGGCUAAUACCGGAUAGGCGCUCCUGCUGCCUGGUGGGGGUUGGAAAGGUUCGGCGGUUGGGGAUGGACUCGCGGCUUAUCAGCUUGUUGGUGGGGUAGUGGCUUACCAAGGCUUUGACGGGUAGCCGGCCUGAGAGGGUGACCGGCCACAUUGGGACUGAGAUACGGCCCAGACUCCUACGGGAGGCAGCAGUGGGGAAUAUUGCACAAUGGGCGGAAGCCUGAUGCAGCAACGCCGCGUGCGGGAUGACGGCCUUCGGGUUGUAAACCGCUUUCGCCUGUGACGAAGCGUGAGUGACGGUAAUGGGUAAAGAAGCACCGGCUAACUACGUG
Molecule: ribosomal RNA, 468 nt
Filed under: uncultured bacterium
Lineage: Bacteria
Description: partial 16S ribosomal RNA
Rfam family: Bacterial small subunit ribosomal RNA
Source: RNAcentral